GGGAAUUUAGCUCAGUGGUAGAGCGCUUGCCUAGCAAGUGCAAGGCCCUGGGUUCGGUCCCCAGUUCCG
This 69-nucleotide transfer RNA is filed under the name Rattus norvegicus (Norway rat). It matches the Rfam family "tRNA". From Rfam's summary of the family: Transfer RNA (tRNA) molecules are approximately 80 nucleotides in length. Lineage: Eukaryota; Metazoa; Chordata; Mammalia; Rodentia; Muridae. The record is from Rfam by way of RNAcentral.